CUUAGGAAACACGUAUCGAUCAAGAGAAAUGCUAUUUGCUGUUUGCUCCAGACCUAAGAUGGAGAAGCCUUCUUGCUUCUUCUUCUCCAAGAAAAUUUUCAUACUACUAACUGGGACUUCAACAAUGGGGACCCAUUUCUCUGCAGUUACACUACAUACACAUACAAUAAAAAAUUCAGUCAAUUGCAAAGGAGCCCAUAAUCAAGAUUAUCCAUAUAACCAAGUAUUUCCUCUCUAACUUAAAAAACACAUUCUUUCUCUAUCCAGGUACUUUUCCAUUCAUUGGUAAUGCUGAUCUAAAAUUCCAAUUCACAAAAACAAAAUUUUACAUCAAGGAUUUGCAGGUUGUUAAAUUCCAGCCCCCUUUAAACUUUUUAAAAGGCUAGAAUAAUUAUCUAAAACUACUUACUAUUGAAACUUUUAAUUCCUUUCAUGAAAGAGAAUUUUCAAAAAGUAGUGUUUUGUCUUCACUAAAUAUUGGUAUCAUUGUCAACUUAGUGAUACACAUGCAUUUCCAAAUGUAGCAUUAGCGUUCUCUUUAUUCCUAACCAUUUCUUAUACAAACCACAUGGUAUACAAUAUUAUAAACAUCUAUAUGUUUUUUAAAGUUGUUGCCAUGUGACCAGGAGGUCACAGGUUCAAGCCUUAGAAACAGCCUUUGGCAAAAAUGCAAGGUAAGGCUGCGUACAAUACACCCUUGUGGUGGGACCCUUCCCCGAACACCGCGUAUAGCGGUAGAUUUAGUGCACCGGACUUCCCUUUUUAUUUAGUAUAAAAUAGCAGUUCAAAUUAACGAAAACAGAAGCGAAGAAACACUAAUUCAUUAGUCUUGACGAACAUGGCACAUGGCCCUUCAUAUUUGCAACAAGAAUAAAGAUCUAUAAUCAAACUGGUGAAGAUAAUUAUAUAAUACUUUUCACUCAAGGAGAGAAAUGAAACCACCAUCUUGACCGUAUGAAACUCACCGUCCUCUUAGGAAACACGUAUCGAUCAAGAGAAAUGCUAUUUGCUGUUUGCUCCAGACCUAAGAUGGAGAAGCCUUCUUGCUUCUUCUUCUCCAAGAAAAUUUUCAUACUACUAACUGGGACUUCAACAAUGGGGACCCAUUUCUCUGCAGUUACACUACAUACACAUACAAUAAAAAAUUCAGUCAAUUGCAAAGGAGCCCAUAAUCAAGAUUAUCCAUAUAACCAAGUAUUUCCUCUCUAACUUAAAAAACACAUUCUUUCUCUAUCCAGGUACUUUUCCAUUCAUUGGUAAUGCUGAUCUAAAAUUCCAAUUCACAAAAACAAAAUUUUACAUCAAGGAUUUGCAGGUUGUUAAAUUCCAGCCCCCUUUAAACUUUCAAGUUCACUUUUGUAUUUUGCUUCUUUUUUUUUCCCCCCUUUUAAUCAAUCAAGAUAAGCUUUGAAGUUUCUUUUUGUUGAAAUUCGUGGUUCAUUUAUAUGAUUAUAUUUUUUGGUUUCCCACAUGUGUCCGGUAUCCACAUUUAUAAGAUUAAUAUUAAUCAAUUGAUGCUUGUUUUCUUGGUUUUCAUGUUAUCCAUCGAAAGACAAUUUCAGUUGAUUUGUACAUUUUCUUAGCACUUGAUGUGUAAACACACAGCUCCUUUCACUAAAAUCACUUUGACCAUAAUGUUAAUCCAUAAGUACAAGUGCACAGGCACACUCCAUUAAUUUUGUACAAAGAAAGGAAACAUCAAGAAACUUCAAAGAAUUUGUGGGUUAGUUCAUUAUAUAAGGCAAUCCAUUUUUGCUUUCAAUUGUGCAACGGCAACCAUAUCAUCUUUAUUCUAUUCAAGGAUGUCAUCAUUUAUAUUUAUCCAUGGUUUUUUAAUUUAUUCCUCAUCCCUAAAUCCUAUUUCUUAAUUCUAUUUCAUUUAAAUCCACCCCAAAUAGGAUUUGUCUAUUUUCUAUUUAAAUAUGUUAUGUAUAUAAUGUUGUUCUGCUCUAAACGAGGUAAGGGUAACGUUUGCGUACAGUCUACCCUCCCCAAACCCCACUUGUGGGAUUACAAUGGGUAUGUUGUUAUUGUUGUCAUAACACGAGAUAGAAAAUUUAGUUAUGCUCUAUAUAAAGAGCAAGAAAUCUCAUCAUUCAUCCAUUCCCUGCAACCUGUCUUGCUUCAGAUUUCUUUGCACCUGAAAUGUGAAAAAACUUAAAAGCAA
RNAcentral lists this long non-coding RNA (2167 nucleotides) under Capsicum annuum. RNAcentral's name for it is "long non-coding RNA (CANN_LNC000196)". Lineage: Eukaryota; Viridiplantae; Streptophyta; Magnoliopsida; Solanales; Solanaceae. The record is from RNAcentral.